CCCUUGGUUCAUCGACGAAGCUUAUAUAGCUCCCCACCCCCUUUUCGCCUUUUCUGACGGCAAAUUAUUCUCAUCAGUCUCUUGCAACAUGCCCAAGCACCACCAAAUUGAUUGCAACAUGCCCACCAAAUCCACGAAGCCGAAAUCCCCAACCUGAAGUGAAGUGAUUCCUUAGGGCCGAAAUCCCUCUCAUUCCCAAAUCGACAAAGCCGCUUCCACAACCAUCGCGUCCUCUACUACCUCCGCCUCAUUUGCCACCAACGGAAUAUCUCAUGCGAAGCGGCUAGGAGUUGGUUUUUAGUGUAUGGGUCUUGGGUUAAGGGUGUUUUGUUGGUCUAAAGAUUUGGGUAAGGUAUUAACGUCAGUGCGAAGGGAAGCUAGGAAAGAAAAAUGAAAUUGCAGGUGUGAGUGUGUGUAGCAGCCUGAUUGUGAGUAGAUGGUGAACAGUGAUGAACAGAAAUGCUGUGACGAAUGAUGAGGGUUUGCAGUGGGAAGACUCGCAGAAGUGAGGGGACAGAGAAUUGAGAGAAUUGAGAGGGAAAGGCAGUGAGGAAGAAGAAUAAGAGGGUAGUCCGGUGAUUUCACCUUUCCACUAACGGCAUUUUUUUCGGAGCGUCUGAACUUUGGAGGGUUGCAGAAUUCGGGGACUAAACCAUUAAUUUUAAAAAAUAUAGGGAUAAAAAUUUUAAUUUUAACAUAAAUUAAAGAUUAAAAAAUAAU
This 720-nucleotide unclassified non-coding RNA is filed under the name Hevea brasiliensis (rubber tree). Lineage: Eukaryota; Viridiplantae; Streptophyta; Magnoliopsida; Malpighiales; Euphorbiaceae. The record is from RNAcentral.